UGGGGAAUAUUGGACAAUGGGCGCAAGCCUGAUGCAGCAACGCCGCGUGAGGGACGACGGCCUUCGGGUUGUAAACCUCUUUUAGUAGGGAAGAAGCGAAAGUGACGGUACCUGCAGAAAAAGCACCGGCUAACUACGUGCCAGCAGCCGCGGUAAUACGUAGGGUGCAAGCGUUAUCCGGAAUUAUUGGGCGUAAAGAGCUCGUAGGCGGUUUGUCGCGUCUGCUGUGAAAACUGGAGGCUCAACCUCCAGCCUGCAGUGGGUACGGGCAGACUAGAGUGCGGUAGGGGAGAUUGGAAUUCCUGGUGUAGCGGUGGAAUGCGCAGAUAUCAGGAGGAACACCGAUGGCGAAGGCAGAUCUCUGGGCCGUAACUGACGCUGAGGAGCGAAAGCAUGGGGAGCGAACAGGAUUAGAUACCCACGUAGUCCCUGAGCGGGCUGGCAAGGCGC
This 450-nucleotide ribosomal RNA is filed under the name uncultured bacterium. RNAcentral's name for it is "bacterial SSU rRNA". It matches the Rfam family "Bacterial small subunit ribosomal RNA", at positions 355 to 823 of the family's 1533-position model. The record is from RNAcentral.